UACGUAGGGUGCGAGCGUUAAUCGGAAUUACUGGGCGUAAAGCGUGCGCAGGCGGUUUUGUAAGUCAGAUGUGAAAUCCCCGAGCUCAACUUGGGAACUGCGUUUGAAACUACAAGACUAGAAUAUGUCGAGAGGGGGGUAGAAUUCCACGUGUAGCAGUGAAAUGCGUAGAGAUGUGGAGGAACACCGAUGGCGGAAGGCAGCCCCCUGGGUUAACACUGACGCUCAGGCACGAAAGCGUGGGGAGCAAACAGG
This 255-nucleotide ribosomal RNA is filed under the name uncultured bacterium. RNAcentral describes it as "partial 16S ribosomal RNA". It matches the Rfam family "Bacterial small subunit ribosomal RNA", at positions 524 to 776 of the family's 1533-position model. The record is from RNAcentral.